Molecule: small nuclear RNA, 141 nt
Organism: Oncorhynchus tshawytscha (Chinook salmon)
Lineage: Eukaryota; Metazoa; Chordata; Actinopteri; Salmoniformes; Salmonidae
Gene: U4
Rfam family: U4 spliceosomal RNA
About the family: U4 small nuclear RNA (U4 snRNA) is a component of the major U2-dependent spliceosome. The structure of U4 snRNA from yeast and human has been reported.
Source: Ensembl
UUCUUUGCGCAGUGGCAGUAUCGUAGCCUAUGAGGUUUAUCCGAGGCGCGAUUAUUGCUAGUUGAAAACUUUACCCAAUACCCCGCCAAGACGACUUGAAAUAUAGUUGGCUUUGGCAAUUUUUGAUGGUCUCUCAGGAGA